This 432-nucleotide ribosomal RNA is filed under the name uncultured bacterium. Its description in RNAcentral is "partial 16S ribosomal RNA". It matches the Rfam family "Bacterial small subunit ribosomal RNA", at positions 29 to 507 of the family's 1533-position model. The record is from RNAcentral.
ACGAACGCUGGCGGCAUGCCUCACACCUGCAAGUCGAACGCGACCUUCGGGUCUAGUGGCGCACGGGUGCGUAACGCGUGGGAACCUGCCCUUAGGUUCGGAAUAACUCCCCGAAAGGGGUGCUAAUACCGGAUAAUGUCUUCGGACCAAAGAUUUAUCGCCUUUGGAUGGGCCCGCGUUGGAUUAGCUAGUUGGUAGGGUAAAAGCCUACCAAGGCGACGAUCCAUAGCUGGUCUGAGAGGAUGAUCAGCCACACUGGGACUGAGACACGGCCCAGACUCCUACGGGAGGCAGCAGUGGGGAAUAUUGGACAAUGGGCGAAAGCCUGAUCCAGCAAUGCCGCGUGAGUGAUGAAGGCCUUAGGGUUGUAAAGCUCUUUUACCCGGGAUGAUAAUGACAGUACCGGGAGAAUAAGCGCCGGCUAACUCCGUG